RNAcentral lists this long non-coding RNA (290 nucleotides) under Elaeis guineensis (African oil palm). RNAcentral describes it as "long non-coding RNA (EGUI_LNC037652)". Lineage: Eukaryota; Viridiplantae; Streptophyta; Magnoliopsida; Arecales; Arecaceae. The record is from RNAcentral.
GUACUCCUGAGCUAAACAGACUGCUCUCUCAAGAAUCCGAUGAGCAUGAAUCACUUCACCAUCAAACACAAGGCUGUUUCGAGACAGCCAAAUCUGAUAAACAAUAUAAACCAUCCGCCCACCAUCCAUAGCCGUCCGAUCAACCACACUCUGACGGAUCAAGCUAAGGAAAGAAAUCAACCAAGGAUGAUCAGUACUCGCCUCCAUGAGGAACUGCCCGUCUGUCUCUAAAUGAUCUUUGCCUUAGGGCAUCGCAAGACAGCAUGCUUCGCAGACUCAUCCUCUAUGCC